Molecule: long non-coding RNA, 550 nt
Organism: Prionailurus viverrinus (fishing cat)
Lineage: Eukaryota; Metazoa; Chordata; Mammalia; Carnivora; Felidae
Exons: 3
Source: RefSeq, a predicted model, not a curated record
ACCCACAGCUGGAGCUGGAAUACCAGCUCUGCUUUAAUCUAAGCUCACGCAUACUUGGGCCCUUACUUUCUUGCACAGCCUGAAGCAGCCUGUGUCUUGUGGCCCUUAACUGACAGGUCUUUUCAGGAAACGCUGGAGCAGAAUGGCACCUGGCACUGCCCUUGUGUAUUUGGGACGGGAGCGCACCAACUGCAAAGCUAAAGGACACAGGAUUAAAACUUUCCACUGCAUUGAACAAAACAGCAGGCAAGUCCACUUGGAAGUUGGAAGCUGGCUUGGUGCAAGCAUGCAGACUUGGGCCGGACACCAGUCACAGCUACUCCACUGCAGGCUUCGGUCGUAUAUUGACUUUCUAGAGGCUGGCAAGUCCAAGAUCAAGGAGCUGGCAGAUUGGGUGUCUGGUGAGAGCAUGCUUCCUGGUUCACAAACCAUCUUGCUGUGCCCUCACGUGGCAGAAGGGAGGAAGUCUGGGGCUCCAUCCACGUGACCUCAUCACCUGUCCCUCCACAACCGUCACACUGGGGAUUAGGUGUCAAUGUAAGUAUUCUGG